Molecule: ribosomal RNA, 477 nt
Filed under: Candidatus Brocadia fulgida
Lineage: Bacteria; Pseudomonadati; Planctomycetota; Candidatus Brocadiia; Candidatus Brocadiales; Candidatus Brocadiaceae
Also listed under: 1 other name
Description: bacterial SSU rRNA
Rfam family: Bacterial small subunit ribosomal RNA
Source: RNAcentral
UUCGCAAUGCCCGAAAGGGUGACGAAGCGACGCCGCGUGCGGGAAGAAGGCCUUCGGGUUGUAAACCGCUGUCGGGAGUUAAGAAAUGCAAGGGUGUUAACAGCAUCCUUGCUUGACUAAGGCUCCGGAGGAAGCCACGGCUAACUCUGUGCCAGCAGCCGCGGUAAUACAGAGGCGGCAAGCGUUGUUCGGAAUUAUUGGGCGUAAAGAGCACGUAGGCGGCCGUGUAAGUCGGUUGUGAAAGCCUUCCGCUCAACGGAAGAACGGCAUCCGAUACUGCAUGGCUUGAGUGCGGGAGGGGAGAGUGGAACUUCUGGUGGAGCGGUGAAAUGCGUAGAUAUCAGAAGGAACACCGGCGGCGAAGGCGACUCUCUGGCCCGUAACUGACGCUGAGUGUGCGAAAGCUAGGGGAGCAAACGGGAUUAGAUACCCCGGUAGUCCUAGCCGUAAACGAUGGGCACUAAGUAGAGGGGUUUU